CCGAAAGGGCAGAGAGACUGUUUCCACUCGACCCUCGGCUCAGUGAAGGAAAGGAAAAACAAAAACAUCUUGGAAUCAGCCUAAGUAUUCCUUUUUUCUUUUCUUUUUUUUCUAUUCAUUUUAUCUAAUUUAUUUUUCUGGCUUGGCUAGGUGGGAUAGCCGAGCCAUUCCCUUUUCUUUCGGAUAGCAGGUUGGGUAAAACCACUAAAGAAAAAAAUCUAUUCAAUUAGCA
This 232-nucleotide long non-coding RNA is filed under the name Nicotiana benthamiana. Its description in RNAcentral is "long non-coding RNA (NBEN_LNC040764)". The record is from RNAcentral. Lineage: Eukaryota; Viridiplantae; Streptophyta; Magnoliopsida; Solanales; Solanaceae.